RNAcentral lists this ribosomal RNA (460 nucleotides) under uncultured Rikenellaceae bacterium. RNAcentral describes it as "bacterial SSU rRNA". It matches the Rfam family "Bacterial small subunit ribosomal RNA", at positions 338 to 795 of the family's 1533-position model. The record is from RNAcentral. Lineage: Bacteria; Pseudomonadati; Bacteroidota; Bacteroidia; Bacteroidales; Rikenellaceae.
CCUACGGGUGGCUGCAGUGAGGAAUAUUGGUCAAUGGACGGAAGUCUGAACCAGCCAUGCCGCGUGAAGGACGACGGCCCUAUGGGUUGUAAACUUCUUUUGCAGCAGAGCAAUAAGGCGUACGUGUACGUCGAUGAGAGUAUGUUGCGAAUAAGCAUCGGCUAACUCCGUGCCAGCAGCCGCGGUAAUACGGAGGAUGCGAGCGUUAUCCGGAUUUAUUGGGUUUAAAGGGUGCGUAGGCUGUGCUGCGAGUCAGCGGUGAAAGAGCGGAGCUCAACUCCGAAAGUGCCGUUGAUACUGCAGUGCUGGAGUACCCCUGCCGUGGGAGGAAUGAGUGGUGUAGCGGUGAAAUGCAUAGAUAUCACUCAGAACACCGAUUGCGAAGGCAUCUCACGAAAGGGCAACUGACGCUGAGGCACGAAAGCGUGGGGAUCAAACAGGAUUAGAUACCCCGGUAGUC